This is a long non-coding RNA of Stylophora pistillata, 230 nucleotides long. Lineage: Eukaryota; Metazoa; Cnidaria; Anthozoa; Scleractinia; Pocilloporidae. The record is from RefSeq and is a predicted model, not a curated record.
GGUGGUCAAAGGACUGCUUUAUUUGUGGGAGCUGAAAAUUAUGCACAGAGAUGUGAAGCCCUCGAAUAUUUUAGUAAGCACAAGAGUUCAAGUAAAAUUAUGUGACUUUGGUGUCAGUCGACAGCUGGUCAAUUCAAUUGCUACAACUUACGUUGGAACUCAUGCUUACAUGGCGCCUGAACGCAUACAAGGAGAUGAAUACAGCAUUCGUUCGGAACUCUGGAGUCUUG